UACUAGUUGAGUUGCCGUGUACUGUUAUACGUGAACUAACUAGAUUUCCUGACCAAAUUUAUUGAGCUUCUAGAAUUUUCUCAUAAUUGUUGGCUGAUUUGUGUUGAGAAACCCUUAACGUCAUUGUUAAACAAGUGGAACCAUCGACACUUCUCCUGUUGUCUAAUGUAUGCAAACAAGCAUUCCUGGUCGGAGAUCCAGUUCAACUGCCGGCCACUGUGAUCUCACCUAUUGCUGGAAAAUUUGGAUAUUGCAUCAGCUUGUUUGAGAGACUUCAGAGGGUGGGAUAUCUAAUACAGAUGCUUAAGAAAGUGAUGAAGACAUUGAUCUUACUUAAGAAGAUUUUGGGAUUGUUGAUAGGUGCUCUAUUACUAAUAUUUCUGAUAUUGGAUUUGUUGAAACUUAUCGCGACUCAAACUUGAUACUAUGUAAAAACCUAACUAAUCAUUUGGGUAUUUAUUUAACAUUUUUCUUUUAAAUUUCGGUUAUAUUCCUAGUUUACUUUGUUCCACAUUUUGAAUUAUGUGAUUAUUAAUGAAUGAAUUUUGUUUAGUGAUAUGCAUAUAAUUGUUUAUUAUAAUUUAUUAUGUAAAUACAAAUUUACAAAUAACUAUUUUAUAUAAAUUGUACCAAUUGAUAUUUGAACUAGUUACAACAUGUGGCAACAAUCGUUGCAAUAGAUCAAUAAAUCAUUGCGAUAGUAUUAGAAAUUCUUGCAAUAGGUAGCCAAAAACUGUUGCAAAAGGCCAAUAAAACCAUUGCAAUAGGUAGUCAAAAAAUGUUGUAACAGAAAAAUAGAUCAUUGCAAUAGGCUCUAAAAGUAGUUGCAAUAGAUAGGAAAAAAUUGAUGCAAUAGAAUUAUAAAACUGUCGCAAUAGCUUCUAUUGCAACGGUUUAACCUCAUUAUAGUAGAAUCUAUUGCAACGGUUAUUAACCGAUGUUAUAGAUGAAAAGAGGCAUCCCAAUAAUAGAAAAAAUAACUGUUGCUAUAGGUUGGUCUAUGGGACAAUUUCUACCAACCGUUACAUCAACCAUUGUGAUAGCUCUAUUGCAACACUCACAUAUAGGACAGUUGUUUAACCAUUGCAGUUAAUCCAUGGCAAUGGUAACCAUCACCAUAGGGGUAAUUUCUAGUAGUGAACCAAGAUAUGAUGAUGAGGUUGGUAGUGAAGAGUCCUCGGUGAUUUCCCAUUUAACCAAAUCAAAUGAGUAUGAAGAUGACAAAAUAAAGGCAAUGGUACUAGAGUUGAAAGAAUAAUAAAAGCCAACCUCUUAUAACAACUCUAAUUUAUUUAGGGGUGAAGGAGCUACGAAGGAAGCAACUCCAGAAUUAGGGGUUAAUCCUCAUUCAAACCACUUCUCUAUAUUGUACUUAGAGUAUGUUAUGAGAAUUUAUCUACCUAGGCAAAUGGUUGUUUGUGAGGAGAAGGAGGAACAUUCCUACAAUUUGGUAUUUGACAUUGCAAAGGAGCACAUGGAAGCCCCACCAUCAAUGGUGAAGGACUUCAACUUCCAAUUUACAACUAGUGGCCUAUUGAUGUCCUCACCAUUGCCCAAGUAGCCAAAUCGGAUGUUCGAUGUGAAAUUGGGUAAAAAGUUUAAGUCUUCAAAAUGGCGAGAUCAAACCUCCCUUAUUAUUUCCUCGAAUCUUCCAAGUUUCAUCUUUGAUGAUCUGAAUCUUCUACCCAUCUACCACCCAUUGCAUAGUGAAUGAAAGUUGGGAUGAAAAUUUAAAUCUUCUAAGUGAAAUCACAAAAGAAAGUGGAGGAGACGUCAUGCUAAGACGUUAAACUAAGCGCUCGAUGGGAGGCACUCUAUCUAGACAAAAAAGUGGCCCAUAUCCUUUUAUUCUAUGCAUGAUAGAGUAGAUUUUAUUUUUGCAUUUAUUCAUAAAUAAUCCAUAUAAAAGUGGUGCUAGGAGAAUAUUGAUUGAAAGUGAAUAAGGGAAUGUGUGAAAUUGGUAUGUUUGGACUAAACAAAAGACUGUAGGAGACCUCAAUAUUGAUCUCAGUUACCGCAACCAUGGCCCGUACCUCCACAAUUUGGGGGCCGCAUUCUCUCGAUCAGGGAACUAGGACUGCGACUAUGGUUGAAUCAACUUAAAUGACCAUUCUACUGCCAUUUCUUCAUACAUACCUUUCUCAAAUUCUCUUAAAUUUUGGGCAUUGUAUAGAGUAUCCAAGUGUCAUUUCAAUCUAUUUCCAUUAUCAAACUUCGUAUGUUGUCUCAAUUCCCUUGUUUUUAAUGUAAUCAUAUGCUUAAAACUUGUAGUUUAAGGAAAGGUAAGAAAUAUCCUUUUUAUUACAAAAUAAAUGCUUGUUGAUGAUUAUUGUUGUGGUUAGCUAUUGUUGUUGGUGUACACAAUAAUGGGGAAAUCUUGAGUACCCAAAUUUAGGCCUUAAAUAGUUGAAUUAACGUAUACACCAUGUGUUCAAUUCAAUUCCCCAAUGAGUUCAAUGUGAAUUCCUUUGAGUUUGAGGCUAUGAUCAUGCAUCCUAGGCUUGAAUUCUCUAAUUAUGAUGUUGUUUCGCCUAGUUAGGACAUAAGGGUGGGGUUAAAAUUAUGUGUUCUGAGUGAUGUGUAGAUUGUCGACUAUGAUCUUAGGUACCGCAAUCACAGUCAUUGCUCCACGAUCGCCAUACCUUAGGGCCGUUGUCUGCAGCAGCCAAAAUUUUUGCAUACCUAUUUCCCACCCCAGAACCUUCUACAACACUACCACAUGAGUUUAUCUGAUUAAUCUAGCAUGGUUUUGGUGUGACAAUGCUAAUGAUGAUCUGGAUUGUAUUUCUUAUAGGCACUAAGCCACCAGAAUAGGAUAUUUUAACAACACCAAAUUCAUGGCCGCUCAAUUCCAAAACCUCUAAUAUACUAACUUGCCUAGGACAAAGUUGCUCCCUGAGAAAGGUAUCAUCUUGGACAUAGUGGAGGAGAAACUCCCAGGUUUCUAUGCCAGACUCACUACUACCGAAUGGAGGUGCUUUGCCUCGGAACCCUGCCAUGCUAAUAAACAGUAGGUACGUGAGUUGUACACAAACCUCAACAUAGUUUCUCACAUAAACCUAGUGAUGAAAAUAUGGGGAAAGCAAUUGAAUUUUUGAGUAGAGCAAGUCAAUGAGGUGUAUGGGCUCCCAGAUGCUGACAUGGAGUAGUUUCAUGCAAAAGCAUGUGAGCUAGGGACCUAAAUAGCUAACAUUCUUGUCCUAACAAAGAGGUUCCCUAGGCCACUACCGAGAGAGAUAUUAAUGAAUGAUUCACAGCAGAGGCCAGGCUUUGGUUGGAUAUCAUAAAUAGCAGAGUAUCACCAUGCACUCACAUAACCAUUAUCACAGACAUACAAGCUCGGAUGGU
Long non-coding RNA from Capsicum annuum, 3348 nucleotides. RefSeq lists it as uncharacterized. NCBI's taxonomy places the organism in Eukaryota, Viridiplantae, Streptophyta, Magnoliopsida, Solanales, Solanaceae. The record is from RefSeq and is a predicted model, not a curated record. The transcript is spliced from 3 exons.